Molecule: ribosomal RNA, 474 nt
Filed under: uncultured bacterium
Lineage: Bacteria
Description: bacterial SSU rRNA
Rfam family: Bacterial small subunit ribosomal RNA
Source: RNAcentral
CAUCCAGACUCCUACGGGAGGCAGCAGUAGGGAAUAUUGCACAAUGGGGGAAACCCUGAUGCAGCCAUGCCGCGUGUGUGAAGAAGGCCUUCGGGUUGUAAAGCACUUUCAGUAGGGAGGAAGGUAGUGUAGUUAACACCUGCAUUAUUUGACGUUACCUACAGAAGAAGCACCGGCUAACUCCGUGCCAGCAGCCGCGGUAAUACGGAGGGUGCGAGCGUUAAUCGGAAUUACUGGGCGUAAAGCGCAUGCAGGCGGCCUGUUAAGUCAGAUGUGAAAGCCCCGGGGCUUAACCUCGGAAUUGCAUUUGAAACUGGCAGGCUAGAGUCUUGUAGAGGGGGUAGGAAUUUCAGGUGUAGCGGUGAAAUGCGUAGAGAUCUGAAGGAAUACCAGUGGCGAAGGCGGCCCCCUGGACAAAGACUGACGCUCAGAUGCGAAAGCGUGGGGAGCAAACAGGAUUAGAUACCCUGGUAG